UGGCGGCGUGCCUAAUACAUGCAAGUCGAACGGUCUUUCUAUGGAAGCUUGCUCCACUGAGAAGAUAGUGGCGAACGGGUGAGUAACACGUGGGUAACCUGCCCAUAAGAGGGGGAUAACAUCCGGAAACGGGUGCUAAUACCGCAUAGUUUUCUUGAUCGCAUGAUCGGGAAAGGAAAGACGGCCUUUGUGCUGUCGCUUAUGGAUGGACCCGCGGCGUAUUAGUUAGUUGGUGAGGUAACGGCUCACCAAGACGAUGAUACGUAGCCGACCUGAGAGGGUGAUCGGCCACAUUGGGACUGAGACACGGCCCAAACUCCUACGGGAGGCAGCAGUAGGGAAUCUUCCGCAAUGGACGAAAGUCUGACGGAGCAACGCCGCGUGAGUGAAAGAAGGUUUUCGGAUCGUAAAACUCUGUUGUCAGAGAAGAACAAGUUGGAGAGUAACUGCUCCAGCCUUGACGGUAUCUGACCAGAAAGCCACGGCUAACUACGUGCCAGCCGCCGC
This 507-nucleotide ribosomal RNA is filed under the name uncultured bacterium. Its description in RNAcentral is "bacterial SSU rRNA". It matches the Rfam family "Bacterial small subunit ribosomal RNA", at positions 37 to 518 of the family's 1533-position model. The record is from RNAcentral.